RNAcentral lists this ribosomal RNA (444 nucleotides) under uncultured bacterium. Its description in RNAcentral is "partial 16S ribosomal RNA". It matches the Rfam family "Bacterial small subunit ribosomal RNA", at positions 355 to 791 of the family's 1533-position model. The record is from RNAcentral.
UAGGGAAUCUUCCACAAUGGACGCAAGUCUGAUGGAGCAACGCCGCGUGAGUGAAGAAGGCUUUCGGGUCGUAAAACUCUGUUAUUGAAGAAGAACGUGUGUGACAGUAACUGGUCAUGCAGUGACGGUAUUCAAUCAGAAAGUCACGGCUAACUACGUGCCAGCAGCCGCGGUAAUACGUAGGUGGCAAGCGUUGUCCGGAUUUAUUGGGCGUAAAGCGAGUGCAGGCGGUCUUUUAAGUCUGAUGUGAAAGCCUUCGGCUUAACCGAAGAAGGGCAUCGGAAACUGGGAGACUUGAGUGCAGAAGAGGAGAGUGGAACUCCAUGUGUAGCGGUGAAAUGCGUAGAUAUAUGGAAGAACACCAGUGGCGAAGGCGGCUCUCUGGUCUGUAACUGACGCUGAGGCUCGAAAGCGUGGGUAGCAAACAGGAUUAGAUACCCUGGU